Molecule: ribosomal RNA, 340 nt
Filed under: uncultured bacterium
Lineage: Bacteria
Description: bacterial SSU rRNA
Rfam family: Bacterial small subunit ribosomal RNA
Source: RNAcentral
CAUGUAGGUAUCUGCCCUUUGGCCUGGAAUAACACGAGGAAACUUGUGCUAAUACCGGAUAAGUCUUUACGGAGAAAGCUUUAUGCACCAUUGGAUGAGCCUGCACUUGAUUAGUUUGUUGGUGGGGUAAUGGCCUACCAAGACUGUGAUCAAUAGCUGAUUUGAGAGGAUGAUCAGCCACAUUGGGACUGAGACACGGCCCAAACUCCUACGGGAGGCAGCAGUGGGGAAUCUUGCACAAUGGAGGAAACUCUGAUGCAGCGAUGCCGCGUGAGUGAAGAAGGCCCUUGGGUUGUAAAGCUCUUUCGUCGGGGAAGAAAAUGACUGUACCCGAAUAAGA